Corvus hawaiiensis (hawaiian crow) is the source of this 1446-nucleotide long non-coding RNA. RefSeq lists it as uncharacterized. The record is from RefSeq and is a predicted model, not a curated record. The transcript is spliced from 2 exons. NCBI's taxonomy places the organism in Eukaryota, Metazoa, Chordata, Aves, Passeriformes, Corvidae.
CUUAAAUAACAGCAGCAAUUUUUCCUUACAAUGCCAACACAAUUACUGCUCUGGAAAAAGGCUAGAUGUCAGAAAAGACAAAGUACAUCACACAGAUGGAACGUACCAGAAGACCGCUUCCUUAUGUCGGGCAGACAUAUUUUAACUGGUAAGAUCAUCCAGAGCAAUGAGGUGAAGCGGUUUCUAUAAAUACAGGAUCAGUGGAAUUUUUAAAAACCAGAUUAAAGGCAGUGACAGAAAACAACAACCAACCACUGUAAGACCAUUAUGCCUAAAGCCCCAAAAACGAAACCGGUAAUUCAUCUGCUGCACAAGUCAUUCUAUACUUUGUCCAAAAUUACAUGGGGUAGCAUUAACUAUCUGCCUAAUAAUAGAUUUAUAGUUGCCUAUUAACAGAACUAUGGUCAGUCCAUAAAGAUGUUGAUGGACAUUCCUCUUCUCUUAGAGUACAGAAAGGGCCAAAUCAAAAUGCUCUUAACAGAAACAACACACACAGAAAACCCCUCAAAUUGCAGGUCAUUCCAUCACCUCAUUUUACCAACUGCAACAGAGAAUUGUUCUUCUACACAAAAUUACACAGCAGAUCACAGGGACCUACACAGAGCCUGGAGCACCAAGCAGCUCUUCCUUUGGGGAAUGCCACACUGGCUGUUGGUUUUUUCCUUUAAUGACUUUGUCACUUGGAAAGGGAAACUAUCUUACAGUCUGUUCCUCAUCAUCCUCAUUCCUCCUUUUAUCAACUUCAAAAAUUCACCUAAUUAUCCCAAAGCAUAAACAGGGUCUGUGAGUAGCCACCAGCAAGGGCAGGAAGCAAGAAUGGUUCACAGUUUUCCCUUUUCUUAAUGAAAGAUGGCACAAGCCUUGAGUCUUACCUAGGGAAACAUCUGAAAUCAUUAAGAAUCUCAUCAUUUCAUCAAACCUAGUGAAGAAAGUCUUGUCUACAUGUUAUUUUUUACCAAGACAAAAUUACUGAAAACAGUGCAGCUACCUGUAGACAGUAGUUAAUUACAGUGUUAAAAAUAAUAUUACUAUUACUAUUGUACUAUAUUACUAUUGUGAAACCUUUAAAAUAUUAACAUCACCCCAAUGAUUAAGGGUAUCCUUUCAAUAACUGUCUAUGAUUAACACAAAGAGCAGAUUGCAUUUCUGUAGCCCAUAAGUUGCUUUUGCUACAAACACCAGAAAUAAUUCUCACCUCUUAAGACAAACAAUCAGGCCAUAAAUACAUAUUUUACUGAAAUUCAUCAAAAUCUGGGUAUCAGUACAGUUCCCUAGACACCACCUUCAUUUCAGUGCCUCCUCCAUAAGCAACUGAGGGAUAAUCUCAGGGUGUUUGCAGAAAAACAAGGAAAAAACCAAAACAAAAUCCCAAAAAACCCUGAAAUAUCAGUAGUCUCCAUUUGAAUUGGAGAAUAUGGACUAAUAAAACUGAAGUGAGUUUAUGAA